GGUUUGAUCAUGGCUCAGAUUGAACGCUGGCGGGAUGCUUUACAUGCAAGUCGAACGGCAGCACGGACUUCGGUCUGGUGGCGAGUGGCGAACGGGUGAGUAAUGUAUGGAACGUGCCUAGUAGCGGGGGAUAACUACGCGAAAGCGUAGCUAAUACCGCAUACGCCCUUCGAGGAAAGCGGGGGACCUUCGGGCCUCGCACUAUUAGAGCAGCCCGAUAUCAGUUAGCUAGUUGGUGGGAGUAACGGCUCACCAAGGCGACGAUCCGUAGCUGGUUUGAGAGGACGACCAGCCACACUGGGACUGAGACACGGCCCAGACUCCUACGGGAGGCAGCAGUGGGAAUUUUGGACAAUGAGGGAAACCCUGAUCCAGCCAUCCCGCGUGUGCGAUAUGAAGGCCUUCGGGUUGUAAAAGCACUUUGGCAGGGAAAGAAACGGCACGGGAUAGCCACCCGUCACAACUGACGGUACCUGCAGAAUAAAGCUGGCUAACUACGUACCCAGCAGCCGCGGUAUUACGUAGGGUGCAAGCGUUAAUCGGAAUUACUGGGCAUGCAAAGCGUGCUGAGCGGUUCGGAAAGAAAGAUGUGAAAUCCCAGAGCUUAACUUUGGAACUGCAUUUUUAACUACCGAGCUAGAGUGUGUCAGAGGGAGGUGGAAUUCCAUGAUGUAGCAGUGAAAUGCGUAGAUAUGCGGAGGAACACCGAUAGCGAAGGCAGCCUCUGGGAUAACACUGACGCUCAUGCGAAAAGCGUGGGGGCAAACAGGAUUAGAUACCUGGUAGUCCACGCCUAAACGAUGUCAACUAGCUGUUGGGGCCUUCGGGCCUUGGUAUUGGCACAGCUAACAACAUGAAGUUGACCGCCUGGGAAGCCUACGGUCGCAAGAUUAAACUCAAAGGAAUUGACGGGGACCCGCUGGCAGUGGAUGAUGUGGUUAAUUGAUGCAGCAUGAAAACCUUACCUACCUUGACAUGUAUCUGGAAUCCCGAAGAGAUUUGGGAGUGCUCGCGAAACCGGAACACAGGUGCUGCAUGGCUGUCGUCAGCUCGUGUCGUGAGAUGUUGGGUUAAGUCCCGCAACGAAGGCACAAACCCUUGUCAUUAGUUGCUACGAGGGCACUCUAUUAGGGCUGCCGAUGGCCGUGUCGGAGGAAGGUGGGGAUGACGUCAAGUCCUCAUGGCCCAUAUGGGUAGGGCUUCACGUCAUACAAUGGUCGGGACAGAGGGUCGCCAACCCGCGAGGGCCAAUCGAAGCGAUCGUAGUCCGGAUCGCAGUGCAACUCGACUGCGUGAAGUCCGGAAUCGCUAGUAAUCGCGGAUCAGCAUGUCGCGGUGAAUACGUUCCCGGUCUUGUACACACCGCCCCGUCACACCAUGGGGUGGUUUUACCAGAAGUAUUAGCCUAACCGUAAGAGGCGAUUACCACAGUAGGAUUCUUGACUGGGGUGAAGUCGUAACAAGGUAA
Molecule: ribosomal RNA, 1468 nt
Filed under: uncultured Bordetella sp.
Lineage: Bacteria; Pseudomonadati; Pseudomonadota; Betaproteobacteria; Burkholderiales; Alcaligenaceae
Description: partial 16S-23S ribosomal RNA intergenic spacer
Rfam family: Bacterial small subunit ribosomal RNA
Source: RNAcentral